CCAGCGGCCACUGACACUCGCAAUGUCCGAGUGGUACUGACGGGGCAGCCUCCCGCUGGCUCCACCUUCCAGGAAAGAGGUACAAUCCCCUUUCGAAUUCUGAAGUUGCACUGCAAGCGAUGGUUGGCUACAGUAAUGCUGAGAUGAAAAACACAGACCCAUGUUGCAGGGGGUCACCGGUGGCCAAGGACAGCCAGAUGGCCAGAAGUGCUCUGGUCUCCCGAGUUCUGGAAAAUCGACCAACACCCUUAACAUUUCACCUCACUGCCUUCCAAAACAUGUCUUAUCUCUUGUGGAGAGAAUGUGACGAAAAAGGAUCCAGAACCAAGUUCAGAAGGCCUUCGGCCCUGGACCACUCCACCAUUUGGAGGUAAGGCCCCAUGU
Molecule: long non-coding RNA, 384 nt
Organism: Myotis myotis
Lineage: Eukaryota; Metazoa; Chordata; Mammalia; Chiroptera; Vespertilionidae
Exons: 3
Source: RefSeq, a predicted model, not a curated record